UGCCCAGCAACUCCUAUCCCUACCUCCUCGUGGUACUGGCCGGGGUACGAGUAACCUUAGGGAAGAUCAGGUAACCAAUCCGGUAACGGUGGGAGCUUUGGUGGUAUGCUGAUAGGGAAGG
RNAcentral lists this ribozyme (121 nucleotides) under Aedes aegypti (yellow fever mosquito). Its description in RNAcentral is "drz-agam-1 ribozyme". It matches the Rfam family "drz-agam-1 ribozyme". Lineage: Eukaryota; Metazoa; Arthropoda; Insecta; Diptera; Culicidae. The record is from Rfam by way of RNAcentral.